AAUCUUCGGCAAUGGGCGCAAGCCUGACCGAGCGACGCCGCGUGCGGGAUGAAGGCCUUCGGGUUGUAAACCGCUGUCAUAGGGGGUGAAAUGCAGGUGGGUUCUCCCAUCUGUUUGACAUAGCCUCAGAGGAAUGACGGGCUAAGUUCGUGCCAGCAGCCGCGGUAAGACGAACCGUCCAAACGUUAUUCGGAAUUACUGGGCUUAAAGGGUGCGUAGGCGGCGCGGAAAGUUGGGUGUGAAAUCCCUCGGCUCAACCGAGGAACUGCGCUCAAUACUGCCGUGCUCGAGGGAGAUAGAGGUGAGCGGAACUUAGGGUGGAGCGGUGAAAUGCGUUGAUAUCCUAAGGAACACCGGUGGCGAAAGCGGCUCACUGGAUCUCUUCUGACGCUGAGGCACGAAAGCUAGGGUAGCAAACGGG
Molecule: ribosomal RNA, 421 nt
Filed under: uncultured bacterium
Lineage: Bacteria
Description: partial 16S ribosomal RNA
Rfam family: Bacterial small subunit ribosomal RNA
Source: RNAcentral